AAGUCUCUAUCAGAAUUCUAAAUUUCUCGAAAUAGUCGCUUACGUGCUGUCCGAUUAGCAGUUCAUCUUUAUUAGCCAUGUCUCAUUUCACGACUUCGUUUGCAGCAGUUUACGCUGCAACGCUCAUCAUCCUUGCUGCCGGUGAGAUCGGGUUCUACUGCGCAUACGUUCUCAUCUGUGCUCCUCGUUCACCAUGCUUACCUGCAUGCGAUACCCUCUGUAGUUGAUGGCAUUCAUUAAUGUGGAAUAGUUUAUGUAUGCUCUUGAAAUUUUUGACAAACAAUUCAUGGAGCUCUGUCAGCGAGUACGCAACGUCAUAAGCCGGUGCAACAUACUCGCUUGCUCGAUCAUGAACGGAGAAAACAUCCAACAUCAUUUGCAGCGCUGGGCGCUGCUGUCCUUCUUAUUGGGUUGCUACUAUUGCUCAUGAUAAUACCUGGUGAGUAAUAAAAUGACUGGGGUGUUCGAAUUGUAUCAUACGUAGCUUUCGUAGCGUACAAACGCAUUGUUCCAAUAACUGAUCGAGAACCGCGAACUAAUUAACAGCAGUCUCUGGUAGUAAGAACCAUUGUAUAUGUUCUCUUACAUACCGUGCCCUUCGCAAUAUGACUCUGUAUGAGUGGUAAUAUUGGUCGCUUGUCCGUGCAUCACAGCUGCCUAAUAACCGAAAUAAACGCCUCUUACUUAUGGCAUCGUCUCAACAGGUACAUCUGCCACCAAUGAAAACGAGNNN
This 733-nucleotide long non-coding RNA is filed under the name Volvox carteri. Its description in RNAcentral is "long non-coding RNA (VCAR_LNC002278)". The record is from RNAcentral. Lineage: Eukaryota; Viridiplantae; Chlorophyta; Chlorophyceae; Chlamydomonadales; Volvocaceae.